AAGUCGUAACAAGGUUUCCGUAGGUGAACCUGCGGAAGGAUCAUUGCUGAUGCCGGCGGUCGGUCGAGCCCUCGCGAGGGGGUGAGGCCGCCGCUUUCAACAUCAUCUGCCCCUUUGUGAACCUGGCAUUGGAGCGCCGAACGGGAGCGAGCUUUGGGGCCCGCACUCUUUCCUCCCCUCAGACGGGAGGAUAGGCUUCCUCUGCCCAACAACCUGUCUUUUAUUGCCUGUCUCCCCAGACUGAAGCAAAAAAAAACAAAAUAUUACUUACAACUUUUAACAAUGGAUAUCUUGGCUCGC
Molecule: unclassified non-coding RNA, 300 nt
Filed under: fungal sp.
Lineage: Eukaryota; Fungi
Description: partial internal transcribed spacer region
Rfam family: Eukaryotic small subunit ribosomal RNA (bases 1-46)
Source: RNAcentral